Hyaena hyaena (striped hyena) is the source of this 317-nucleotide long non-coding RNA. RefSeq lists it as uncharacterized. The transcript has 3 exons. Lineage: Eukaryota; Metazoa; Chordata; Mammalia; Carnivora; Hyaenidae. The record is from RefSeq and is a predicted model, not a curated record.
AGAAGAGAAGAGAAAACUGGAAUUGAAAAAUACAGGGGAAGGGGGUACAAUUUAAAGUGCACCUUGAAGAAACAACCAGUUAUAUCCAGAAUGUGAGAUAAUCUACUGUAAGACAACUGGACCUGAAUGCUUAAAAUAGGUGUGAAGAAAACAGCCUGAAUAAAAGGUGUCCUACAAGACCAUGUUCUUACGACAUCACUCCAUUAAAGCUGCCAUGUUGCCUAUAUAAGAACAAAUACAAUACAGCAUACAUUUCUAGCACGACCCUAGAUAUUUUCUCUAGUGUAAAUAAAGAGAAGGAGAAGUUGAAAAGAUUU